RNAcentral lists this long non-coding RNA (638 nucleotides) under Olea europaea (common olive). RNAcentral describes it as "long non-coding RNA (OEUR_LNC002454)". Lineage: Eukaryota; Viridiplantae; Streptophyta; Magnoliopsida; Lamiales; Oleaceae. The record is from RNAcentral.
UAAUUAUUAACCAAGAUUCCAAACCACAAUCAUAAAUAGAAAAAUAAAGUACAGAAAAUGUAAAAUCAACGCAGAGAUUUUUUCAGCCGAAACCUCAAAGGUUCGACGACCAUUUCUAACGCCUAAUCCCAUGUUGAGCAUCCAUUAAAAUGGAUAAAACUCGGUUGCACUUAAAGCCCCAAAAUCACGUAGCAAAUAUACAAUAAUGUUUCAGAAAUUACAACAAAUGAGUCACUAAGACUUAUCUUUUCUGGAACCACAGAAAGGAGCCAUUAUUGCACAAAGAAACUGGUCAAGAUCACAAAAAACUCAAGAACCUCGAACUGCCCCUCUCUCACAAAACAAUUGUAAUCUCUUCUUUCACAGCAAGUAAUGUUCCACCAAGGAACCCAACAAAUCAGCCACUUUAGUUUACAAGAAGAGGUCGAAAAUCACUAAGAUUUCACAAGAAAACGAGCCAAAAACGAAUCACACAGAUUCGACUCGACAAAGACCAAAAUUGCACAACACCUAAAUAAAUCUCAAGUAUUUCUUGGUAUUGGCUGAUAUUAUUUUCAGAAAAACUUCAGAAAAUUAACCCCUAAUUUCACUAAGAAGAAAGGGCUUUUCGCACAAGGAGAGAGAGAAAAUGAGCAGCC